CCCUGCCCUCCCCACUGAAUGGGUCAUUCAGGACGUGUGGAAUAAGAAAUUAGUCUCAAAAAUUUCAAUUUUACCUUUUAUCAUUUUGAAACCUUCUUUACUCAACUCGACAACCGUGCUCACCCAGCCUCCAUUGCUUGUUUCACCUCCGGCCACUAGCCCUAAACUCUUCUCGGGCAUGCCAUAUAGAAAGGCAAGAAGAGACUCACCUUUGUUUUUCUCCGUUCUGAAACCUUCCUCACUCAACCCGACAGCCCUUCUCACCCAGCCUUUAUUGCUUGCUUCGUCUUCGGCCACUAGCCCCAAAUUCUUCUCGAGCAUGCCAUAGAGAAAGGCAAGAAGAAAGCUACUUCUUGUUUUCUCUCUCUAAAUAAAAAUUUACAAAGGCUUCUCCUUUCUUUCUUUGUUUUCUGUAACAAACCCAGAAGUUUUAACCUAGUUUCAGGAAUUUUCACAAUCCAUUGCAACUUCCAAAAAAAUCUUGAGGAACCAAAAGGAAAUGAGUUUCGGAAGAAAAUGUUGCGUUGAUUUCAAGUAUGGUAGAUUUGCACAAUGUUGGAACUUUUAAUGCAGAUAUGGGAUUCAAGGUCGGAUGAACGCUAGAUAGAGUACAAUGUAAUGACGGCGUGUUAUACAAGGUUUGGAGCGGAGAUUGAUGAGUUGUACUUUAUAUGUUUUUCCCGAGUAUACCAAGGUUCAGAAUUUGUUGCGAACCCUCAUGUUAUAUUAUCUUGUUCUAGCGUGUUAUGGGGGCGGAUGUAUAGCUCUUCAGAGUAUUUGGCGUGUUAUUGGUUGGAUUAGCUCUUCAGAACAUUUGGCGUGUUAUCGGUUAGAUUAGCUCUUAUGAGCGUUUGACGUGUUUUCGGUUGGACUACUUGUGCUUGUAUAUGUAAGUCAUUCAUUAGAUCGUAAAUUAUUGUAUUAUACUAGUAUAAUGACUUUGAAUGGCAUGACAUGCAAUUGAUAUCUAAAAUUGAUUAUAUUGCGAAUAUGUAUAUAUUCUCAGAGAACAUUGGUUGAGCUUUGAAUUGAGAGAUGCAAUUCACCGGUAUGUAGUUGCAAAUGGUUGGACGGUCGGAUUAACACUCGAGUCACACUAUCCACCCGUUUUUGGUAGUUUUUGGAACGUUUAUUUUGGACUAUAUGGCAUGUAAUAGGCUUGUUUUGUCAUUCCUCUUUUGUUUUGAUAUGUAAAUCUCUAAUGAAUGAGCUUAAGUGCAAUUAGGCAACUUAUUAUGGUAUAUAUGGAUGAAGGAAGAUGUUUUGGUAAA
Long non-coding RNA from Gossypium arboreum, 1271 nucleotides. RefSeq lists it as uncharacterized. Lineage: Eukaryota; Viridiplantae; Streptophyta; Magnoliopsida; Malvales; Malvaceae. The transcript has 4 exons. The record is from RefSeq and is a predicted model, not a curated record.